GACGAACGCUGGCGGCGUGCUUAACACAUGCAAGUCGAACGGAAAGGCCCUGCUUUUGUGGGGUGCUCGAGUGGCGAACGGGUGAGUAACACGUGAGUACCCUGUCCUUGCCCUUGGGAUAACUUCAGGAAACUGGGGCUCAUCCCGGCUAGGAUCUCUUGCUGCAUGGUGGGCGCUGGAUAGUUUCGGCGGUUGGGGAUGUACUCGCGUCUUAUCAGCUUGUUGGUGGGGUAGUGGCUUACCAUGGCUUUGACGGGUAGCCGGCCUGGGCGGGUGACCGGCCACAUUGGGACUGAGAUACGGCCCAGACUCCUACGGGAGGCAGCGGUGGGGAGUAUUGCACAAUGGGCGGAAGCCUGAUGCAGCAACGCCGCGUGCGGGAUGACGGGCUUCGGGUUGUAAACCGCAUUCGCCUGUGACGAAGCGUGAGUGACGGUAAUGGGUAAAGAAGCACCGGCUAACUACGUG
Molecule: ribosomal RNA, 468 nt
Filed under: uncultured bacterium
Lineage: Bacteria
Description: partial 16S ribosomal RNA
Rfam family: Bacterial small subunit ribosomal RNA
Source: RNAcentral